Molecule: microRNA precursor, 141 nt
Organism: Equus asinus (donkey)
Lineage: Eukaryota; Metazoa; Chordata; Mammalia; Perissodactyla; Equidae
Source: Ensembl
GUGGAACUUGAAGGAAGGGCAGAGUAAGAGGGAUGGGGUUUCCUGGCCACCCAGGGCACACAGUCUGGCACUGGCCGGUCCAAGCUGGGUCCUGUGCCAGGGAGUCUCUGGACUUCUUGAUGUGCCCCUUCUGGGCACUGU